This 550-nucleotide ribosomal RNA is filed under the name uncultured archaeon. RNAcentral's name for it is "bacterial SSU rRNA". It matches the Rfam family "Archaeal small subunit ribosomal RNA", at positions 223 to 775 of the family's 1478-position model. The record is from RNAcentral.
GAUCAGGCUGUUGGUGAGGUAAUGGCCCACCAAACCUGUAACCCGUACGGGCUCUGAGAGGAGGAGCCCGGAGAUGGGCACUGAGACAAGGGCCCAGGCCCUAUGGGGCGCAGCAGGCGCGAAACCUCUGCAAUAGGCGAAAGCUUGACAGGGUUACUCUGAGUGAUUUCCGUUAAGGAGAUCUUUUGGCACCUCUAAAAAUGGUGCAGAAUAAGGGGUGGGCAAGUCUGGUGUCAGCCGCCGCGGUAAUACCAGCACCCCGAGUGGUCGGGACGUUUAUUGGGCCUAAAGCAUCCGUAGCCGGUUCUACAAGUCUUCCGUUAAAUCCACCUGCUUAACAGAUGGGCUGCGGAAGAUACUAUAGAGCUAGGAGGCGGGAGAGGCAAGCGGUACUCGAUGGGUAGGGGUAAAAUCCGUUGAUCCAUUGAAGACCACCAGUGGCGAAGGCGGCUUGCCAGAACGCGCUCGACGGUGAGGGAUGAAAGCUGGGGGAGCAAACCGGAUUAGAUACCCGGGUAGUCCCAGCUGCAAACGAUGCAGACUCGGUGAU